RNAcentral lists this ribosomal RNA (274 nucleotides) under uncultured bacterium. RNAcentral describes it as "partial 16S ribosomal RNA". It matches the Rfam family "Bacterial small subunit ribosomal RNA", at positions 523 to 796 of the family's 1533-position model. The record is from RNAcentral.
AUACGGAGGGAGCAAGCGUUAUUCGGAAUCACUGGGCGUAAAGGACGCGUAGGCGGGUUUGUAAGUCAGGUGUGAAAUCCUACAGCUCAACUGUAGAACUGCACUUGAAACUACAGACCUAGAGUAUGGAAGGGGCAGAUGGAAUUAGUGGUGGAGGGGUAAAAUCCGUAGAUAUCACUAGGAAUACCGAAAGCGAAGGCGAUCUGCUGGGACAUUACUGACGCUGAGGCGUGAAAGCGUGGGGAGCAAACAGGAUUAGAAACCCCAGUAGUCC